This 538-nucleotide ribosomal RNA is filed under the name uncultured bacterium. RNAcentral describes it as "bacterial SSU rRNA". It matches the Rfam family "Bacterial small subunit ribosomal RNA", at positions 777 to 1313 of the family's 1533-position model. The record is from RNAcentral.
AAUAGAUACCCGGGUAGUCCACGCCGUAAACGAUGAGUGCUAAGUGUUAGAGGGUUUCCGCCCUUUAGUGCUGCAGCUAACGCAUUAAGCACUCCGCCUGGGGAGUACGGCCGCAAGGCUGAAACUCAAAGGAAUUGACGGGGGCCCGCACAAGCGGUGGAGCAUGUGGUUUAAUUCGAAGCAACGCGAAGAACCUUACCAGGUCUUGACAUCCUCUGACCUCCUUGGAGACAGGGCCUUCCCCUUCGGGGGACAGAGUGACAGGUGGUGCAUGGUUGUCGUCAGCUCGUAUCGUGAGAUGUUGGGUUAAGUCCCGCAACGAGCGCAACCCUUGACCUUAGUUGCCAGCAUUCAGUUGGGCACUCUAAGGUGACUGCCGGUGACAAACCGGAGGAAGGUGGGGAUGACGUCAAAUCAUCAUGCCCCUUAUGACCUGGGCUACACACGUGCUACAAUGGAUGGUACAAAGGGCUGCGAGACCGCGAGGUUAAGCCAAUCCCAGAAAACCAUUCCCAGUUCGGAUUGCAGGCUGCAACCC